This 529-nucleotide unclassified non-coding RNA is filed under the name Carex texensis. RNAcentral describes it as "partial external transcribed spacer". The record is from RNAcentral. Lineage: Eukaryota; Viridiplantae; Streptophyta; Magnoliopsida; Poales; Cyperaceae.
UCUGGUGCGGCCAACCGACAUGGGGCUGUCUCUUCACUCUCCCUCCCGUCAUUUGAUUUGUCGGGGCUGGGAUGCUUGUGAUCGGUUGCCUGUGCGGCUCUACCCUGCUGUGGGUAGCGAAGUUGUCCCUCGAUUGAUAUUUGCUUGCCUCUCUGACAUUUUUUUGUCGUUUUGGCAGCCGAAAUGAUGGCGAAAUCCCUGUGGAGGUGCGUGGUCAAAUGGCCCCGUUGCUCUCACUCGGAAUUUUGCCGGCUCUCACGGAUGCGUGCCCAGUGCCGGCUCUGCGUGGCUUUGCCCCGCGGACUACGGGAGGUCCCCUGUACGAAUCACUGCGAUCAGAUGCCGUUUGUCGUGUUGCUUGUUUGGCACGCAAAUCGUAUUGUUCUGUCCGGAGUCGGGAUGACGAAAGUCAGAAUGAAGUGUCUGGGGCGUGCUCGCGUACACGGGGAAUGCCUCUCCGAUCGUACGAGCAGCGAUUUCCGGCCCGCGUCCUGCGAAGGCCCGCCCGUCCGGGUCGGUGCCGGAGCUG